Molecule: ribosomal RNA, 253 nt
Filed under: uncultured bacterium
Lineage: Bacteria
Description: partial 16S ribosomal RNA
Rfam family: Bacterial small subunit ribosomal RNA
Source: RNAcentral
UACGAGGGGUGCAAGCGUUGCUCGGAAUCAUUGGGCGUAAAGGGCAGGUAGGUGGUCUGAUUUGUCUGAGGUGAAAGCCUUGAGCUUAACUCAAGAAGUGCCUUAGAAACGGUCAGACUAGAGUCCUGGAGAGGGUUGCGGAAUUCCCGGUGUAGCGGUGAAAUGCGUAGAGAUCGGGAGGAACACCAGAGGCGAAGGCGGCAACCUGGACAGGAACUGACACUCAACUGCGAAAGCAUGGGGAGCAAACAGG